UCCGGGAUCGUCCAACAGGCCGAGGAUGGCGGGCUCUGACCCCGCAGAUGCAGGUUCGAAUCCUGCUCCCGGAGCAA
Molecule: transfer RNA, 77 nt
Filed under: Vitiosangium sp. GDMCC 1.1324
Lineage: Bacteria; Pseudomonadati; Myxococcota; Myxococcia; Myxococcales; Archangiaceae
Description: tRNA-Gln
Rfam family: tRNA
About the family: Transfer RNA (tRNA) molecules are approximately 80 nucleotides in length. Their secondary structure includes four short double-helical elements and three loops (D, anti-codon, and T loops).
Source: RNAcentral